Molecule: long non-coding RNA, 917 nt
Filed under: Piliocolobus tephrosceles (Ugandan red Colobus)
Lineage: Eukaryota; Metazoa; Chordata; Mammalia; Primates; Cercopithecidae
Description: lncRNA (ENSPTEG00000010732.1)
Source: RNAcentral
AAAAAAAAAAAAAAGUUACAUAUACAUAUUAAAUACGUUGCAUGUGUACAACCCUAAUACGUAACUAAUGCACCAUUUUUAUUUCUAAUUCAGAUAUUAUGUAGGUCUACUAACAGCACUAGCACUUUUCCAUUGUUUAGUGUUUGUUUUCUGUCUUGUUUUUUUCAUUUUAUUUUUGAAAAAUGAUAGCACAAAGAAUCAAUGGAAAUCUUUCUACAACACAUCAAGCGAUGUCCCUUUUUACGUUUUAGUGAGUGCACUCACUGUGUUGAACGGAGUUUUUUUUGUUUUAGUUGUACAACUUCUAGGAUUGCACAUUUUUCUGAUUUUAAAAAAAAUGACCACAUAUGAGUAUAUCGUUAACAGAUCGAACUCUAAGGAUAAAGAAAAUAAAAACACAAGGACGUGUUUAGAAUGGAUAGUCAUAGAUAAAAAGUGCGUACAUUUAUUGAAUGAAAAAUAUUUGAGCAUUUUCAUAUAAAACAUAUGCAUACAUUCAUUUAAUAUUAUUCCAAAUUUUGUCUAUAUACGUAUAUACCUAUAUAUGUAUGUGUAUAUGUUUUUAUCUAUUUAGUAAUAUAACUAGUUAAUUAACUAGCUAUUUUUCAUUUUAUUUAUUUAUUUUUUAUUUUUUUUUUAUUUUUAGGCGCUUGAAAAGCAAUAAUGAUAUUGAAGUAUGAAAAUUGAAUUUUUUUUUUUUCAUUUUUUUUAGCUAUAUAUUUAGCUAUACAUUUAUAUAUAUAUAUAUAUACCCCAUUUGGGCCACUUUUUUACAAAAUACAAAUAAUAUAUACAAAAAAAUAACUCAUUGAAUUAAUUUGCUUUGUUUUACAGAAUAUAGAAAAUCCAUAACAUUGAAUUAUCAAAAACUGAAAAAAAAUAAUAAAAUGUUAUUAAAACAAAUAAAAAGGAAAAAA